UACAGAGGUGGCAAGCGUUGUUCGGAAUUACUGGGCGUAAAGGGCGCGUAGGCGGUUCGUUAAGUCCUGUGUGAAAUCCCCCGGCUCAACUGGGGAACUGCACAGGAAACUAGCGGGCUUGAGUUCGGGAGAGGGAAGCGGAAUUCCGGGUGUAGCGGUGAAAUUCGUAGAUAUUCGGAAGAACACCAGUGGCGAAGGCGGCUCACUGGCCCGGUACUGACGCUGAGGUGCGAAAGCGUGGGGAGCAAACAGG
This 253-nucleotide ribosomal RNA is filed under the name uncultured bacterium. RNAcentral's name for it is "partial 16S ribosomal RNA". It matches the Rfam family "Bacterial small subunit ribosomal RNA", at positions 524 to 776 of the family's 1533-position model. The record is from RNAcentral.